UACGAAGGGGGCUAGCGUUGCUCGGAAUCACUGGGCGUAAAGCGCACGUAGGCGGGUCUUUAAGUCAGGGGUGAAAUCCCGGAGCUCAACUCCGGAACUGCCUUUGAUACUGAGGAUCUUGAGUUCGAGAGAGGUGAGUGGAACUGCGGGUGUAGAGGUGAAAUUCGUAGAUAUUCGCAAGAACACCAGUGGCGAAGGCGGCUCACUGGCUCGAUACUGACGCUGAGGUGCGAAAGCGUGGGGAGCAAAGCAGG
Molecule: ribosomal RNA, 254 nt
Filed under: uncultured bacterium
Lineage: Bacteria
Description: partial 16S ribosomal RNA
Rfam family: Bacterial small subunit ribosomal RNA
Source: RNAcentral